CACCGCCCGUCACUCCUACCGAUUGAUGAUCCGGUGAAAUGUUUGAAUCGUGGCGACAUGGGCAGUUUACUGUCCGACAUCGCGAGAAGUCUAUUGAAUCUUAUCAUUUAGAGGAAGGAGAAGUCAUAACAAUGUUUCCGUAGGUGAAUUUGCGGAAG
RNAcentral lists this non-coding RNA (158 nucleotides) under Solanum tuberosum (potato). RNAcentral's name for it is "Eukaryotic small subunit ribosomal RNA". It matches the Rfam family "Eukaryotic small subunit ribosomal RNA", at positions 1667 to 1823 of the family's 1831-position model. Lineage: Eukaryota; Viridiplantae; Streptophyta; Magnoliopsida; Solanales; Solanaceae. The record is from Rfam by way of RNAcentral.